Molecule: ribosomal RNA, 458 nt
Filed under: uncultured bacterium
Lineage: Bacteria
Description: partial 16S ribosomal RNA
Rfam family: Bacterial small subunit ribosomal RNA
Source: RNAcentral
AACGAACGCUGGCGGCAUGCCUAACACAUGCAAGUCGAACGAGACCUUCGGGUCUAGUGGCGCACGGGUGCGUAACGCGUGGGAACCUGCCCUUAGGUUCGGAAUACCUCCCCGAAAGGGGUGCUAAUACCGGAUAAUUUCUUCGGACCAAAGAUUUAUCGCCUUUGGAUGGGCCCGCGUUGGAUUAGCUGGUGGGUAGGGUAAAAGCCUACGAAGGCGACGAUGCGUAGCUGGUCUAAGAGGGUGAUCAGCCACAUUGGGACUGAGACACGGCCGAGACUGCGACGGGAAGCAGCAGGGGGGAAUAGUGGACAAGGGGAGAAAGCGUGAUAUAGGCAUAGCGAGUGGGUGAAGAAGGCCUUCGGGUGGGAAAGCCCUUUGGGUGGGAAAGAAAAGCAGCAGGUUAAGACCCCGCGGUUAUGACGGUACCCAAAGAAGAAGCACCGGCUAACUUCGUG